CUACGGGAGGCUCCAGUGGGGAAUAUUGCACAAUGGAGGAAACUCUGAUGCAGCAACGCCGCGUGGAGGAUGACACUUUUCGGAGCGUAAACUCCUUUUAUAUAGGAAGAAGAUGACGGUACUAUAUGAAUAAGCGCCGGCUAACUCCGUGCCAGCAGCCGCGGCAAUAGGAGGGCGCAAGCGUUACUCGGAAUCACUGGGCGUAAAGAGCGUGUAGGCGGAUUAAAAAGUCAGAAGUGAAAUCCUAUAGCUUAACUAUAGAACUGCUUCUGAAACUCUUAAUCUAGAAUAUGGGAGAGGUAGAUGGAAUUUCUGGUGUAGGGGUAAAAUCCGUAGAGAUCAGAAGGAAUACCGAUUGCGAAGGCGAUCUACUAGAACAUUAUUGACGCUGAGACGCGAAAGCGUGGGGUGCAAACAGGAUUAGAUACCCCUGUAGUC
Molecule: ribosomal RNA, 438 nt
Filed under: uncultured bacterium
Lineage: Bacteria
Description: partial 16S ribosomal RNA
Rfam family: Bacterial small subunit ribosomal RNA
Source: RNAcentral